RNAcentral lists this ribosomal RNA (301 nucleotides) under uncultured bacterium. Its description in RNAcentral is "partial 16S ribosomal RNA". It matches the Rfam family "Bacterial small subunit ribosomal RNA", at positions 509 to 807 of the family's 1533-position model. The record is from RNAcentral.
CAGUAGCCGCGGUAAUACGAAGGGGGCUAGCGUUGUUCGGAAUUAUUGGGCGUAAAGGGCGCGUAGGCGGUUUGGCAAGUUUGGUGUGAAAUCUUCGGGCUCAACUCGAAGUCUGCAUCGAAAACUGCCGGGCUUGAGUGUGGGAGAGGUGAGUGGAAUUUCCGGUGUAGCGGUGAAAUGCGUAGAUAUCGGAAGGAACACCUGUGGCGAAAGCGGCUCACUGGACCACAACUGACGCUGAGGCGCGAAAGCUAGGGGAGCAAACAGGAUUAGAGACCCCUGUAGUCCCUGUCUCUUAUAC